RNAcentral lists this ribosomal RNA (567 nucleotides) under Trichoderma reesei. RNAcentral's name for it is "eukaryotic LSU rRNA". The stretch from base 194 to 347 matches the Rfam family "5.8S ribosomal RNA". Lineage: Eukaryota; Fungi; Ascomycota; Sordariomycetes; Hypocreales; Hypocreaceae. The record is from RNAcentral.
GUGACGUUACCAAUCUGUUGCCUCGGCGGGAUUCUCUGCCCCGGGCGCGUCGCAGCCCCGGAUCCCAUGGCGCCCGCCGGAGGACCAACUCAAACUCUUUUUUCUCUCCGUCGCGGCUUCCGUCGCGGCUCUGUUUUACCUUUGCUCUGAGCCUUUCUCGGCGACCCUAGCGGGCGUCUCGAAAAUGAAUCAAAACUUUCAACAACGGAUCUCUUGGUUCUGGCAUCGAUGAAGAACGCAGCGAAAUGCGAUAAGUAAUGUGAAUUGCAGAAUUCAGUGAAUCAUCGAAUCUUUGAACGCACAUUGCGCCCGCCAGUAUUCUGGCGGGCAUGCCUGUCCGAGCGUCAUUUCAACCCUCGAACCCCUCCGGGGGGUCGGCGUUGGGGAUCGGCCCCUCACCGGGCCGCCCCCGAAAUACAGUGGCGGUCUCGCCGCAGCCUCUCCUGCGCAGUAGUUUGCACACUCGCACCGGGAGCGCGGCGCGGCCACAGCCGUAAAACACCCCAAACUCUGAAAUGUUGACCUCGGAUCAGGUAGGAAUACCCGCUGAACUUAAGCAUAUCAAUA